GAAUAAACUAUGUAAGUAGCUUGGAGUGACAUCUAUCGGGUUUACGUGUCUAACACAAAUUUCAGCAGAUAUGGUUAACUUAAAUUGUUCUACCGUUACAUCAUAUCUUAUUCAUGUCAUGGACGAACACAAGGAUCAACAAUUCAUUUUGGCACCGUAUCACCAAGAUAAUCAUUGGUUACUGAUCGCGAUUUGCACACCUUUAAAAACGGUGUAUGUGUUUAAUCCUAUGAAAAGUGGGCGCACCCUUGAUGUUAAAACUUUUGUGAAUAUGACAUUUUGAUCUGUUCCUACAAAUGGACGAGGAACUAGA
This is a long non-coding RNA of Ipomoea nil (Japanese morning glory), 313 nucleotides long. RefSeq lists it as uncharacterized. The transcript is spliced from 3 exons. The record is from RefSeq and is a predicted model, not a curated record. NCBI's taxonomy places the organism in Eukaryota, Viridiplantae, Streptophyta, Magnoliopsida, Solanales, Convolvulaceae.